RNAcentral lists this ribosomal RNA (470 nucleotides) under uncultured bacterium. RNAcentral's name for it is "partial 16S ribosomal RNA". It matches the Rfam family "Bacterial small subunit ribosomal RNA", at positions 29 to 507 of the family's 1533-position model. The record is from RNAcentral.
ACGCACGCUGGCGGCGUGCUUAACACAUGCAAGUCGAACGAUGAAGCCUAGCUUGCUAGGUGGAUUAGUGGCGAACGGGUGAGUAAUACGUGAGUAACCUACCUUUAACUCUGGGAUAAGCCUGGGAAACUGGGUCUAAUACCGGAUACGACCAAUCUCCGCAUGGGGUGUUGGUGGAAAGCGUUAUGUAGUGGUUAUAGAUGGGCUCACGGCCUAUCAGCUUGUUGGUGAGGUAACGGCUCACCAAGGCGACGACGGGUAGCCGGCCUGAGAGGGUGACCGGCCACACUGGGACUGAGACACGGCCCAGACUCCUACGGGAGGCAGCAGUGGGGAAUAUUGCACAAUGGGCGCAAGCCUGAUGCAGCGACGCCGCGUGAGGGAUGACGGCCUUCGGGUUGUAAACCUCUGUUAGCAGGGAAGAAGAGAAAUUGACGGUACCUGCAGAGAAAGCGCCGGCUAACUACGUG